CAGUACAUUUAUAAUGAUAUAUGUAAAGAUAAAUCGAUCAUGCAAAAUGAAUACAACAUCUCACACAAUCUAUUUAAAGCUAUUUAAAGGCUAAGAGAUUCUAACAUAAUAUUAAAUGAAAGUGGACUCUGUCAGUAAGGAUAUUUUUGCAGCCGAACAUAAUUAUAUUUUAUGAAUUAAACAGCUUUUACAUUUUCUUUGUGAAAUGUUUGGGAUUGUAAGGCAUUUCUUUUAGAUUGUAAACUCACUUGAACAAGGCCCUCUUCACGUUUUCACUGACAUCUGUCAACAUUACUUUUC
Molecule: non-coding RNA, 300 nt
Organism: Pelobates cultripes (western spadefoot toad)
Lineage: Eukaryota; Metazoa; Chordata; Amphibia; Anura; Pelobatidae
Source: the annotation of a GenBank genome assembly